Molecule: long non-coding RNA, 670 nt
Organism: Actinia tenebrosa (Australian red waratah sea anemone)
Lineage: Eukaryota; Metazoa; Cnidaria; Anthozoa; Actiniaria; Actiniidae
Source: RefSeq, a predicted model, not a curated record
GAUUUAUUUGGGUUUUAUGCUCUGUUCUUCAAUUUAAUGCUUUUUACUUUCAUUAUUGACCUUGAUAAUUGUUGCUUCCGGAACUGAGCAUUUUUGCUGCCAAAUUAAUGUUUCGUGCACGGCUGAACAAGCCAGGAGGAGCCAAGAGCCACUCCAGCAUAUAAAUCCACAGACGUUUCUAGAUUUUGUUGCGAUUAUAAGCAUCACAACACGAGAGAACCAUUUAUUGAAAUUUUAUAAUGCUAUGUUAUUUAUUUCAGUCUUCCAGUAUUGCUUGAUUCUUUGGUUCACAGAAGAUCAUCAUCAUUGAAUAACCAUUGGAACACUGACCAACCAAACCCGGGUUUUACCUACCAAACUUACCUAUCAAACUCUUGCAAAACCGACCAAACCGUUGGUACACCGACCAAACUCGUGGCAUAAAUGCCAUCUGCCCAUUUGCUUAUGUCCCGCACUAAGGUAUUGUGGGCAUAACCUUGACCUGUCCUAUGCUCGUCACCAGUUAAUGGACAUCAAUACACUAGUCAGUUGACCGUGGCUUUGGUCUUCUAAACUGGCUCUAUUCCAGUAGUUUGUAGUAAAAUCGUCACACUACGUUGUCGUUUGUCUUAUAUUCAAUAUCCUGUCACGUUGAUCUAAACUGUCCUUAGAAAGCUGCGAUGGAGGUUAU